This is a non-coding RNA of Ciona intestinalis (vase tunicate), 147 nucleotides long. NCBI's taxonomy places the organism in Eukaryota, Metazoa, Chordata, Ascidiacea, Phlebobranchia, Cionidae. The record is from RefSeq and is a predicted model, not a curated record.
CCGGAUUUCCACUAUUUGACAUAAUGAACUACAUUAAGUUUACAAAAAAAACUAUUGUAAGUCCCACGUCUGCAUAAUAAUAUUCAAAAGAAUUAGGUUUAAGAGUCGUUAGUAAGAGCAAUUUAGUUUAGAGUAAGAAUCCAAAAA